Molecule: ribosomal RNA, 301 nt
Filed under: uncultured bacterium
Lineage: Bacteria
Description: partial 16S ribosomal RNA
Rfam family: Bacterial small subunit ribosomal RNA
Source: RNAcentral
CAGUAGCCACGGGAAUACGGAGGGGGCUAGCGUUGUUCGGAAUUACUGGGCGUAAAGCGCACGUAGGCGGCUUGGUAAGUUAGAGGUGAAAGCCCGGAGCUCAACUCCGGAAUUGCCUUUAAGACUGCCGAGCUAGUAGGUGAGAGAGGUAAGUGGAAUUCCGAGUGUAGAGGUGAAAUUCGUAGAUACUCGGAAGAACACCAGUGGCGAAGGCGGCUUACUGGCUCAUUCUAGACGCUGAGGUGCGAAAGCGUGGGGAGCAAACAGAAUUAGAUACCCCUGUAGUCCCUGUCUCUUAUAC